UAGUAAAACCAAAUAUGUGAUUUUAAUUCGUUUGAGGUCCCAGAAUUUAAAGUAAUGUUGCAAAAGGUGUUGUUGUUUAAUUUGUAAAAAUUAGGAAAUACUAAGUUUUACCUUUUGUAUAAGGUUCUGUGGAAAGCUUUAAGGCUAUGCCGUUUUGAAUGGAAUAGGGCUUUGCUUUACCUAAUUUUUUUAUCUGUUUUAUUUUUUUGAAAAAUUAGGUAGGAGAGAAAUUUUUUCGUUUGCUUUUUUCCUUUUCUUUGUGUUAGAGGGGUUGGUUUUCUACUCUGUUUUCUUUUGCUUGUUGACUUUACUUUUAAUUUUUAGAAGUGAAAUGUUUUGUGUAAUAACUAUUACGUGUCAUUUGUGGUGUAAGAUUUUGAUGUCUAUAUAGGAAAGUUAUGACGUUUAUCAUUUAAAGAAUUAGUAGGGUUAAUUUAAUAUUUCUGUAACUUUGUUAGAAGUUUUGAGCUUUUAAAAUUUAAUGUUCCACUUUACCAUAGGAAGAACUAUUUUUCAAAAUUUUAACGUUUGUUUUAAACGUGUUCUCUGCUCGAUGAUUUGUUUGACUUAAAUGGCCAUGGUUUAGACUGUGCUAAGGUAGCGUAGUAGCUUGUUUCUUGAUUGGAAACUGGAAUGAGUGGGAGUUUUUUCUUGUGGAAAUUUUUGUUUUUUUGAUUUUAUAAUUUGAUUGAAAAUAAUCUCAUUGGAUUGUAGACAAAGAGACCCCGGGAUUUUCAUAAGGAUUUGUUUCGAUCCUUAUUUGGUUGGGGCAAUGUUUUGACAUUUUAUGUUAUGAUUUUUUUGUUUCUGUGAACUUUUUUUUUUGAUAGCUGUUUAAAAUACCCCGGGGAUAACAGAAUAAUCUUUUUUUUGAGUUUUUAUCUUAAGAGAGGAUUGUGACCUCGAUGUUGGAUUGAAAUUUCCUUUAUUUUAGAUAGUUUUUUUUGGGUGCAGGAGCUUUGGUAGGAAAGACUGUUCGUCUUUUAAAAUUUCACAUGAUCUGAGUUCAAGUCGGCGUAAGCCAGACUGGAUUUUAUCUGAUUCGUAAGUUUCGUUAUAAGUGAGUAGUACGAAAGGACCUUUGCUUUUAAAAGUUUUGCUGUAAAAAA
This 1109-nucleotide ribosomal RNA is filed under the name Paraleius leontonychus. RNAcentral describes it as "16S ribosomal RNA". The stretch from base 807 to 1032 matches the Rfam family "Archaeal large subunit ribosomal RNA", at positions 2167 to 2705 of the family's 2987-position model. Lineage: Eukaryota; Metazoa; Arthropoda; Arachnida; Sarcoptiformes; Scheloribatidae. The record is from RNAcentral.